RNAcentral lists this ribosomal RNA (253 nucleotides) under uncultured bacterium. RNAcentral describes it as "partial 16S ribosomal RNA". It matches the Rfam family "Bacterial small subunit ribosomal RNA", at positions 524 to 776 of the family's 1533-position model. The record is from RNAcentral.
UACGAAGGGGGCUAGCGUUGUUCGGAAUUACUGGGCGUAAAGCGCACGUAGGCGGAUUGUUAAGUUAGGGGUGAAAUCCCAGGGCUCAACCCUGGAACUGCCUUUAAUACUGGCAAUCUCGAGUCCGAGAGAGGUGAGUGGAAUUCCGAGUGUAGAGGUGAAAUUCGUAGAUAUCGGGAGGAACACCGGUGGCGAAGGCGGCGAUCUGGGUCGAUACUGACGCUGAGGUGCGAAAGCGUGGGGAGCAAACAGG